GUCUACGGCCAUGCCACCCUGAACAUGCCUGAUCUCGUCUGAUCUCGGAAGCCAAGCAAGGUUGAGCCUGGUUAGUACUUGGAUGGGAGACCACCUUGGAAUACCAGGUGCUAUCGGCG
Molecule: ribosomal RNA, 119 nt
Filed under: Pteropus alecto (black flying fox)
Lineage: Eukaryota; Metazoa; Chordata; Mammalia; Chiroptera; Pteropodidae
Source: RNAcentral